CUUUCUGAUGCUUCCUCUGUAAAUAGUUUUCUCCUUUUUUUCCCCGCCCUAUCCCUAUCCCUUAACCUUGAUCCCCUUUCUAUUGCGACUUUAUAAGAGACAGAACUUUUACUCCUCGGAAAUUGUUAAAUAAUUCAUAUAUUCUCAACCAAUCAGCCAGGAACAGUCCGAACAGCCAAUCUCCGUAAUCAUGAGACUGCUCAUCCCACCCAGAAGAAAGGGACAGAACUUAGGUAUGUUUUCUCUCUAGUCACAGCCAUUGGACAGGACUCCAAAGGCAGGGUCUGGGGCCCCUCUGAGGGGGACAAAGCUUGCAGGGACUAGGAGGAGGCUUAUGGCAGAAAAGGACACUCCUCUUAGAUAGAGUACCUUCCCAAAGUACACGACUGGAUGUUGAGGCAACCUGAAAGAUUCUCCUGAGCUCGCGAUUGGAUUUCAGUUGUUAAUCGUCAUUUAGUUCCCAAACGGAGCAAGAAAGCAGCCUAGUGGAACGGCAUGGAGAGAAAGAAGCUGCAAUAUUAGCCAUCUUUUUGGGGAGAAUGUUCCUUUGUGGAUGGGAAAGGGUGUAUUGUCUCCUAACUGCUGGGAGGGUCUUAGGCUGGGGUGGGAACUUUGUCUGAAAGAGGCAAGGGGGAAAGAGUCUGACAAAAGUGCCUGAUUUUACCCUGUUUAAGGUUUAUGCUUGUGUGUGUCUGCAUCGUUGUGAUAGCUUUGUUUAUUCCUAAGGGUUGGGUGGUUAUUUUUUAAAAGCAUUUUCUUGCCAUUUUCUUUUUCCCUUGCUCUGAAGAGUAGGCUGGUUGGCCCGGGAGUGGAGGAGCGGCCGGCCCUGAGCCCUGACUUUGCUGAAUAGCGCAGAAUGGCGAUUUUCCGGCAAGAGUGGGCUCAGACAGGCUCUCCCUCUAACCCGCGCCCUCCGAUCUAGCUCUCCUCCUCUGGGGUCGCCUUUCUGAGCCCCAGCUUUUGUCUAAUGAGCCACGUGUCUACCAUAGAAAAACCCAACCUCUUGGGACUCUUUUUUUUCUGGGUAGUUGUAGUCAUUGCUUAAGUUUGCUUGGUGCUGUCCCCGCCGUAGGGCAAUUAGUAUGUACGUUUCUUUCUAAGUACCGAGGAAAACUGGUAGGAUUGAUGCCUGCGCCCUUCUUUCAUUUGCAUUGUAUUUUAUUUUGAGUGUAAUUAUUGCUGUCUUUGUAAUUUUAGAGUUUGAAAUAAAAUUGAAAAAGGACCAAAAAAACCCA
RNAcentral lists this long non-coding RNA (1235 nucleotides) under Phascolarctos cinereus (koala). Its description in RNAcentral is "lncRNA (ENSPCIG00000035228.1)". Lineage: Eukaryota; Metazoa; Chordata; Mammalia; Diprotodontia; Phascolarctidae. The record is from RNAcentral.